This 253-nucleotide ribosomal RNA is filed under the name uncultured bacterium. Its description in RNAcentral is "partial 16S ribosomal RNA". It matches the Rfam family "Bacterial small subunit ribosomal RNA", at positions 524 to 776 of the family's 1533-position model. The record is from RNAcentral.
UACGUAGGGGGCAAGCGUUGUCCGGAAUCAUUGGGCGUAAAGAGCGUGUAGGCGGCCAGAAAAGUUCGCUGUGAAAACUCGAGGCUCAACUUCGAGCUGUCGGUGGAAACUUUCUGGCUAGAGUCCGGAAGAGGAGAAUGGAAUUCCUGGUGUAACGGUGAAAUGCGCAGAUAUCAGGAGGAACACCGAUGGCGAAGGCAGGUCUCUGGGCCACUACUGACGCUGAGAAGCGAAAGCAUGGGGAGCGAACAGG